AUUGAACGCUGGCGGCAGGCCUAACACAUGCAAGUCGAACGGUAACAGGAAACAGCUUGCUGUUUCGCUGACGAGUGGCGGACGGGUGAGUAAUGUCUGUGAAACUGCCUGCUGGAGGGGGAUAACUACUGGAAACGGUAGCUAAUACUGCAUAACGUUGCAAGACCAAAGCGGGGGACAUUCGGGCUUCUUGCCAUCGGAUGUGCCCGGAUGGGAUUAUCUAGUAGGUGGGGUAACGGCGCACAUAGGCGACGAUCCCUAGCUGGUCGGAUAGGGUAACCAGCCACACUGGAACUGAGACACGGUCCAGACUCCUACGGGAGGCAUCAGUGGGGAAUAUUGCACAAUGGACGCAAGGCUGAUGCAGCCAUGCCGCGUGUAUGAAGAAAGCCUUCGGGUUGUAAAGUACUUACAGCGGGGAGGAAGGGAGUAAAGUCAAUACCUUUGCUCAUUGACGUUACCCGCAGAAGAAGCACCGGCUAACUCCGUGCCAGCCGCCGCGGUAA
Molecule: ribosomal RNA, 506 nt
Filed under: uncultured bacterium
Lineage: Bacteria
Description: partial 16S ribosomal RNA
Rfam family: Bacterial small subunit ribosomal RNA
Source: RNAcentral